Solanum lycopersicum (tomato) is the source of this 2240-nucleotide long non-coding RNA. RefSeq lists it as uncharacterized. The record is from RefSeq and is a predicted model, not a curated record. NCBI's taxonomy places the organism in Eukaryota, Viridiplantae, Streptophyta, Magnoliopsida, Solanales, Solanaceae.
UCAAACAAAUAUAAUAUAAUUUAUUAGGUAGAAGAAAAGGACUGUAAAAUAAAUAAUUUAACACACGAAGUAUUUAUAGGUUAGGUUCAGAGAAUAAGUACAUUCUUAAUCCUUCUCAUGUUAAAUCUAUGUUCGUCUUCAAUAUUAAUUCAAGGUACAUCACAGAACAAAUUUAUAGCACAAUUGGACAUCUAGAUAUGAAUUGGAUAUAUAGAUGAAUGCUCUCCUUAUGUAAUUGGAGUGCCUAAUUUGUGAAGCUGUAGAGGCACUCUACACAGGUCAAAUCACUUCUCGAUUAAAAUUCUUAUUUUAUAUCAAAUGUCUUUGGUCAAGACAAUUAGCUUGACUCUAUUUUGUUCCUUGUGAAUCAUUUAUUUUCUAUGUCUCUAAGUAUUUUGAAUUUCUUUUUCAGAUUUGAUUUUUAACUUGAACUAGUUUUUUUCCAUAUGAAUAUAACAUUAUAUUUAAUAUAAUCUUGAAUAUAACAUACUAUUUCAAGCAGUCUUAGUCUUGGUUCGCUGCUGUUAGCAGUCUGAGCAGGGAUAAUCCAUAUACUAAAUAUUUAGAAGUCUAGCACAUUCCUCUUAGCAAAAAACAAACAUAACAUGCAACUGAGAAGACUUUAGUAGAGGCUUGUCUUGAUAGUGCAUGUUACUUUAGUAUGAAAGAAAACAUCAAGGUAGUCCUUAGCAAGCAAUUGUCAAGUAUUAGAAUUAAAAAUCCUUAGUACACAUUGAAUGGAAGUAUACUUGAUACUCUAAAUUGUUAGUUGGCAAAGCAAGUCACUACCCUCAUUAAUGCAAGUAAUUGUUAAGUCCUAAGCAAGACACAAGCCUCAUUGAGUUAUUCAAGUGACAAAAAGCACAUUUAUAACCCUUGACACAGUUACAUCAUAUAUAGACGUUAUAGCAAAAGACUAGAUUAACUGUGUCACACUAGUUUUGCAGCAAAUGUACAAAACAGAAUGAAGGUGUUAACGGGAUGAUGUUCAAGUUUAAUAAGAUUUUAAACACAUUGUCAACAUGUUUAAUGCAAUAGGUUUUAACUGUUACAAGUUUUAAUCAGGAUUAGAACAUACUAUUUCAAGCAUUUUUAGUCUUGGUUCACUGCUGUUAUCAGUCGAAGCAGAACAAUAAUCCAUAUGAUGAAUAUUUAGAAGUCUAGCACAUGCCUCUUAGCAAAAAUAAACAUAAAAUGCACCUGACAAGAGUUUAAUAGAGGCUUGUCAUGAUAGUAUAUGUUCCUUUCGUAUGAAAGAAAAUAUCAAGGUAGACCUUAUAAAUCCCUAGCAAGUGUCAGUAUUAGAACUAAAAAUCCUUUGUACCCUUUGAAUGGAAGAAUACUUAAUCCUUUUAGCAGUUUAACUUAGGCAAGUAACACUAUUUAUUAUUCUAAAUUGUUAGUUUGCAAAUCAAGUCACAAUCCUCAUCAAUGCAAGUAAUUGUUAUGUUCUAAGCAAGACACAAGCCUCGUUAAGUUAUUCAAGUGACAAGCUGUAGAAUUUAAAAUCCUUUAGAGUCCCUAACAGAGUGACAUAACUUAACUUCUUUAUGGAACAUUUAUAACCCUAGAUGCAGGUAUAUCAUAUAUAGACUUAUAACAAAAGACUAGAUUAAAUGUGACACAACAAGUAAGUUUUGCUGCAAAUGUACAAAACAGAUUGAAGGUCUUAACAGGAAGAAGUUCAAGUUUAACAAAUUCUAAACAUACUUCAUAAUAGAUUCGAAGUGUUGUUUCAGUAACUUCAUCAAUUUCAUCUUUCCUAGAAGGCGAGUUUAUAAUCUGCUACUCUACUAGAUAGAAUGUGUCUAUUGCUGAGUAAGUCAUGGUUGAACUUUAAGAAUCUCCACAUUUCCCCAUAAAUGGGGUUCAGUGACGACGUUUGAGAGAAAAGAAGAAGAAAUUGUUGUGGAAGCACUAAUUUUUUUUUUCGAACUACUUCUCUAGUUCGGUUCGGCCUAAUAUAGGUUUCGACUUUCAUGUAAUUUGUUUUAUGGUUUACACAUUUUCACUUUGACUAUAGUGGAUAGUAAAUCUUUAUAGCUCAUCUACCAUUUGAGUUGGAUUGGCACAUCUAUUUGAGAAAGGUAUCAGAUAAUUAUAUGCGAAACAUUCGAGACUACUACAUAAACAUGCACAAAAAUGUAGUUAAUAAGAUGUUAGACAUUUGUUUGCAAUGCAUUACAUUGUAUGUUAAUGUAAGAAUUUUAUUUAUCAAUAUGAAGAUUUAAAUUAUUUAA